UUUUUAUACGUUCAUAAUUGGGGAAAACUUCCUUCAUGAAAGUUGUAGAGCUCGUCGAUACGAUCUCGUGCAUAUGUGGUAUGCAAAAAUCAGAGUUCGUAUGAAUUAGUUAUGAUUUUUUUGAAAAAGUUUCCAGUUUAGUAUAAAGCUGCCAUUUUUGGAAAUUACCAAAAAUAAUUUCAGUUCCAUUUCUGGAAACCGAACUCUCUCUCUCUUGCGCGCGUCCGAGCCCAGAAAAAACAGAGCAAAGCUCUCCGGCCGAGUUCUCCCUCCUCCGGCCACCAAUCGACACCAGACCACCUCCCUUGCCUUCGCCUCGACGCCGCCUACUUGCUAGACGUGAUCACUUCCACCGGAACGGCCUCAAAUCCGGCAGUCGGAGCCGCAAACUUUGAAACAAAAAUCGGUCAACGCCGGUUUUCUCCUAGCUCCGGCCACCAAAACUCACGAUCCUUAGCUCCCUGAACUCGCCUCAACCUUCUGAUCAUCAUUCUAGAAGGAUCGCACCUGGAGUGAUCGGAUUCACGUUCGUCGGAGCUCGCCGGAUUCUGGAAAUUUUCCACCACCACCGAAGCUUUUGAUAGAAGGAAUCGAAGCCUGAAAUUGAAGUUUUGACGUCGAAAUCAAGCCUUGCCGGAUUCUGCAAAAUUCUGGAAUUUUUCCGACCACCGAAGCUUUCGAUCGGUAUAUCUCGAGCUACAGACCAUAUUUUUCUGUGAUUCUUGAACCAGUGAGUUCUUCUUGAGUUUCUUAACAACUCUUCAGAAGGAAUCGAAGCCUUAAAUUGACGUUUUUACGUCGAAUUGGAGCUCGCCGUUUUCUGCAGUUUCUCGCCGGUUUCUGGAAAAUUCCGGCCACCUUCAUACUGUUCAAGGUGAUCGACGGUUUGAUUUGGCGGACGAUUCGUGAAAUUGUAUUUUGAGCUGUUAAGAAGACGCAGCGGGAAUUUAGAGCGGGAAAUCCUACAGGUCAGGAGAACCAGGACGGUGAUCGGGCUGCUUAGAGUAGUGUUAUGUGAAUUACAGCAUUAUAUUGUGAGGUUUGUUAUGCUCAUUUAGAGCUUUGCAAUUUUACUUUGUAAGAGUGAAUUGUAAUAAUUAACUCGAGGUUUUCGAAUUUUUGUGUUGAGUGGCGAGUGGUGUGUUUGUUUGUGAGAAAAAAAUUCAGAACGUAUUUGUAUUAAUUGUUUAUUCAUGUUUCGGAUUUGAAUUGGUUAUUCAAAAUUCGGGGCGUGACAACCAUUGUUCAUCGGCACAAGUAUUUUGCUAUCAGUAGCAUCCUUGGUUCCUUUAUUGAAAGGCGUGACCGUGGAGUCCAAAUCCGACGGGAUCUUUACCUCGGAUGCAGAGCUCUGGAAUGGAAGGUUGGCCAUGUUGGGUCUUGUAGCUUUGGCCUUCACCGAGUACGCGACCGGCAGUGCCCUAGUGUAGAGCUGUUUCGUUACUCGUCACAAUUGUCAAAGGGUGCUUGCUAGCUUAUAUAAGCACACCCUGUAAAUUCACAUGUAGUUAAUUACACGUCUUAUUUAAGAGCUUCACGUAAGUCUUUAGAUUCAUACUCAAGUGUUCAGUUAUUCCAAAUUUCAAUAUACUCUCUUCAAUUUA
Molecule: long non-coding RNA, 1604 nt
Organism: Rosa rugosa (rugosa rose)
Lineage: Eukaryota; Viridiplantae; Streptophyta; Magnoliopsida; Rosales; Rosaceae
Exons: 4
Source: RefSeq, a predicted model, not a curated record